This 684-nucleotide long non-coding RNA is filed under the name Triticum aestivum (bread wheat). RNAcentral describes it as "long non-coding RNA (TAES_LNC013954)". Lineage: Eukaryota; Viridiplantae; Streptophyta; Magnoliopsida; Poales; Poaceae. The record is from RNAcentral.
UGACAUGCAGUAAAAACCGAUUAACAUUUUAGAACUUAAAUAGUGUCUACAUAUGUGGAUUUGUCUCCCUUUUCCUAGGAAGAGACAUGUUCCCGGUUUCACUAGUAAAAUUUCUUACAAGAUCAGAAUCCAACAUGUUUGAGCCAGAUAUCACCUUUCAACAAUCCGCGCCUGAAGCUCAAAUCACAAAUUUUCCCAGACCAUUAAAAGAGUUAACUGACCCAAAACUAAGUUGUUCAUGGGAGUAAUUUACAUUUAACAACACGCAAAAGCCCUCGGUAUGUGGAACAAUAAACCUCUUGUGAAGCAUAUUCCACGAUAGACAUGGUCUCAAUGACAUUCACACCACUAGAGGUGACCUCCUCUGACAGGCUAUGAGGCGGUAUUUGGACCUGGAACAAGUGGCGGAUCCAGGAUUGGAGCAACCCCCGGGCACAAUUUUUUUUCCGGACGUGACAGAAAAAAUUAACGUCUAUCAGGCUAUAGCUACCUCAAAUAUGGCUCAAUUGCACCAAAAAUUUUGAAUACAAUUGAAUGUUUGACAGCAGCACCAACCAUAAGCAGUCUGCAGUAGCAAAUCCAAACAUUAUAGCAAAUAAAAAAUGUUCAAUCAUUAAAAAAAUUCUAUCAACAGCAGACAAUAGCCAUUACCAAAUACCCAGUAUCCUGGGCCUGGCCGCAUGG